Molecule: RNA transcript, 2839 nt
Organism: Scylla paramamosain (green mud crab)
Lineage: Eukaryota; Metazoa; Arthropoda; Malacostraca; Decapoda; Portunidae
Gene name: prostaglandin G/H synthase 1-like
Exons: 16
Source: RefSeq, a predicted model, not a curated record
UCGGGGAUGGAUGUGCGUGGCGAGUGUAUCUCCCUGGGUGUGUAUGUGUGUCCACGCCUAUCAAGUGACCACAUAACUUUCUUUCCCUGGUGAUAUGAAGGCGUGGACGCUGCCAUAGUGAAAAACAAGCUGCCCUGUCACUCGUGACUCAGGAGAGCGGCAAGUCCUGGGGCUACUACAUGGGGCACUCCUACCCCCCCGGCGCACCCCAGCCCAGUUCAGUAAUCGCCCCCAUCCCCCGAGGACCCCGCCCCCCUAUCCGCGAGGGAAACAAGCGACAUGAAAAAGGAAGGAAGGAGUUAAGAACUGAAAUGUUGGUGGCACAGUGUGUGGUGGUAAUAUCGACUUGAAAUACAGGCAAUGUGAUAACAAACCCACUGUAACUUUACCUUGGCUGGACAACGAGAGACGACCAGUUAAAGAUUCAAGUGUUUCCACACUAAAUGAAAUGUUUGUUGUGUGUUUGUUACGGACGUGAAAUACAGCCGCACAGAGGCACGGACGCAAGGGCACCCCUCACUGUCACUCUCUGCCAGGACGCACGAACACACACAUACGCGCAUACUCCACCAUCUGGAUGAGGGAGCACAACUGUGUGUGUGAUGAGCUGCUCAAGAUUCACCCAAAUCUUGGGAUGACAACUGCCUCUACCAGACUGCCCGCCUUACUGUCAUGAUUGUCAUCAGUGAGGAGAGAGAGGGAGAGAGAGAGAGAGAGCUGACAUCAAGGAACCACACACACGCUCUCUACCCAGUGCUGGAGGAGGUGAAUGAAAACGGCUGCCAGCUGAGGUUCCAGGGGCUCUACGCGUACCGCAGGAGGUUUAGCAUGCAGCCCUUCACCUCCUUCCUUGACCUGGCUGGUGACCCCAAACUGGCGGCUGACCUGGAGCACUUCUGCAGGGACAUAGAGGCUGUGGAGUACUAUGUCAGUCUUGUCACGGCACGCCUCGGCCCCUCGGUCACCCUGCCGUCCACGGUCAGUUUGGGAGGCCCCUGGAGUGUGAAGGGGCUCAUGGCUGCCCAUUUGCAGCCCUAAGUACUGGAAGUCCUCCACUUCUGGCAGCAAGGAAGGCUUUCAGGUCGUCAAGACAGCCACUCUGAAGAAACCCUUCUGCCUCAACAUGAAAACAGGCCGUUAGAAUGAGAAUGUCGCGUUCACAGUCUCUCCCUGGUACGUCCUGAGCUUCCGGGGCUGCGUUAGGGUACAUUCAUGCUACGGCUGCGUCUUCAGGUCCUCCCAGCCCAUCCUGGUGCACCCCGAGUCCCUGAAUGUGGGUUAGGGUGUCGGGGUGUGUGGCUGUUGCCUGGGAGGAAAUUGUGCCCGCUCUGAUGGUUGCCAUUACACUUUGAUCUGGGAGGUACGCGUUGGUUGUGUAAGAAAAAUUCCUCCAAUCUCACCUGUCCUUCUCUCCAGGUGACAGAGGCUUCUGAGUGACCCAUCCAUCCAGCCACUCAUCCACAUGACCCAUCCAUCCAGCCACUCAUCCACAUGACCCAUCCAUCCAGCCACUCAUCCACAUGACCCAUCCAGCCAUCCACCCGAGGCAAGCGCCGCCUCCGCCCCCUGUCAGGUAUGGAGGGGUUAGGGAAAGGACGCCGUGCCCCAGCAGCUGCCCCUGACUGGCCAGCUGACCCCUCUUGAUGUCUCCAGGGCCGUGGUGAGGCAGGAGAGGACUCGAGGGUGCUGUCACAAAAACCACUUCUUGUGCCGGGAGGAAGAGCUUUCGUGUGGCCCACUGUGCAAUCCCACGCUGCUGUACCACGGGUCAGAGAGUGAGAGAGUGGAGAAGAGGGAGCUGAUCAGAAGGGCUGUGGAAGUGGAAGGGUGCCCUGUCUGAGUCCUGCCUGUCACUAUGACAUCCUCUGAGGUCCCUGAACACCUUAGCCCCCAUGAACCAGCUGCUGCUGACCGGGACACCCUUGCAGAACAGCCUGGCAGAGCUCUGGCCCCCUCUGAACUUCCUGAUGCCAGAUAUUUUUGAUUCCCUCAAUGUGUGGGGAGAUGCAGGAGGAGGGAAGUGACGAGAGGAUUUUGAGGCAGGAACGGGAGGGCCAGGUCAUCUCCACUCUAAUAAAGGAAUUUUGGGGCAAGUGGAGAGGCCCAGAGAGAAAAAUAUUUGAAGGAUGCUUAAGUGAAGAUAAUAUUUAAAGGAUUUGUGGGAAAAGGAAAGUGGAUGAAAAGACGUUUGUCUCGUGCCAGCGAACGUCCUGUCUGCAGUCGGACUGGUGGUGCCGUGUUGCAGGCUGUGACAUCAGGAAGAGCCAAAUGGAGGGUGUCUACAGCCAGAACUUGCUGCUGCUGCUGUACAGGUGUCACAAGCCAGGUGCCACAGCACACACCAUGUCACCUGACUCCACCAGUGUAUUGUCUAGUCCAGGAUGCAUUGCUGUACGAUUUGCAUGUCUAUUGCCAAUAAAUAAAUUUGUGACUAUUCUUAUAUAUGUGAAAAAAUAUAGAGUUUCCUAACAGUGUGGUAUAGUGUAAAAUAAAUUGUUUGGUGGUAACAAUUCAUGCACAGAAGAAGAAGAAAAAAAAAAAAAAAAAGCCAGGAUUAACCCACCCCAAAAAAAGUUUAAGAUACAAUUUGAACACAGAAACCCCAUCCGAGCGACACCGGAGUCGCUUGGACAGGGCUUCCUCGUGCAAAUUGUAUCUUAAACUUGCUUUUAAUAAACCAAGUUAAUCCUGGCUUUUUUUUUCACCUUAAGGGCAUGAACUGUACUCCAAGAAAGGUUGUUUAUUUGCAGAAGAUAUUAUUGACAUAGUACACAAGACGGUAUAUUGAAUUUUUAUUGUUUUAGUGUAUGACAAGUUAAUAAACACACAACAGGAUAAA